Long non-coding RNA from Lonchura striata (white-rumped munia), 1622 nucleotides. Lineage: Eukaryota; Metazoa; Chordata; Aves; Passeriformes; Estrildidae. The record is from Ensembl.
GGUUUUUUGCAAUCCACACGGCACAGAUUUUUUUGAUUAUGUAGAUUUUUUUUUUUUUCCUCCUCUAUUGCAGUUUCAUAUGCAAAGCAUGCAUCAGCCACAUCCAUGCUAUCUCCUAAAGCAGUCAUUCUGAAACCCAAUCUGGGGACAGUGCAGACUAAAUAAAAUUUCAUUUUGAUUUGGCCUCCCGCUGAGAAUGGGACUGCUUUGUUUCAGCCGACAGAAGCAGCAAGCCAGAAAGGUGUUGAAUACACAAAUACUGACUUAACAGAAAAUUAUAAGUAGAGGCAGAAUCAAAGCUUCGCCCAGCAACUACAGAGAAAUCUAAUAUUUCCUGAGUGGGGAGAGAAGAAAGCUUGGAAACUGUAGGAAAACAUGGACCAGAAAAUCAUGUUAUUUCUAACCUAUACACACCACUGGGAUUUCCACCACUGGGAUGACCUUCUCAGAAAAAGCUACACCCAGAUAAAAAGAAGCAAAAUUGCUGGGAUGGCUAGGAUUUCAAAAUACUACUUCAUAAUAAGCAUAAAACACAUCUUAAAGCACAUAUUAUGGGUCCAGAAGAACACAUCUUUCAGUCUGCAAGAAGUAUUUAAACUACUCUGGCAGAUGAAGAUUUGGAUUUGGCUUGCUUGAUGCUGGACGAUUAAUGAAGGAAGCCCUAACUGGACAAAUGUUGGUCUCCUGAGACAAUGUGUUGUUGAUAACAGGUCUGAUUUGAGCAAGUCUAGUCAAAUUCAAUUUUAAUAGUAUUUAGAGGCACACGCAGGGCACAUACAGCUGAGCUUUCAGCUAGUUUGUCUGUUUUUAAUGUCUGUUGUGUUGCUAAAGCUUAUUCCAUUAAGUAUUAAACUUUGCAAGGCAGUAAAGACAUAUACCUGUCAGCUGCAGAGACACAAAUUUCGCCUCAGUAUAGCAGAUUUUGUUCAAAAUUUGCCUUUCUUCUUUCAUACUUAUGCAGACUGGAAUAUGUAAUUCAUCACUACUUGACUGUUCCUUUCCUGUGGAGGAAUUAUUGCAGUCUGAUUAUUUUGAACCCUAAAAAUUAUUGAUUGAGGUAAAGAGACAUGAAGGUAUUGCAAUCAGUUCUCAAUCUAGUGAGGGCAACCUACUUAAAGCAGCUAAUCCUUAGCCUAAAAGCUGUAUGCAGUUGCUACCCCUCCUACAGGACUUUUCACAUCUCUGUGCCUUUAUCAUUUACGUGAAGUUAAGUACAAAACGUUUUCCACUGCACUACCAAAAUCAAGAUAACCACCAAACAUCAGGGCAUUAUCUUACUGGAUUGCUGCAUUGAGCAUGAAAUUCAGCUCACAGCUCAGUCACAGCUCCAGCUGAGGGGGAAACAGGUCGCAUGUGCCACCAGAAUUCUGGACUUCAGGAUGUGUCCCCUCUCACAAAGCUGAAGCAAUGACGUCUAAAGUCAGUAAGGUCUAGAGUACUUUCCUUCUUCCAACACCUCCCAUUUUCUAGAGAGAGGCAAAACCAGGGGGAAGAAGAAGGUGCAUCUGUGUGCCUCACACCUCUUCUAACCACAGAGCAAGCCUCUCUUUCUUUUUCCCCAAAGAAGGUUGUUGAAACAGAGCCUAAUGGCCAGCUCCCUGCAGGUCUAGGUAUGGCACUGC